AAAACGGCACGCGAGCUGGGUUCAGUACGUCGUGAGACAGUACGGUCCCUAUCUGGUACGGGCGUAGGAAAUUUGAGAGGAGCUGUCCCUAGUACGAGAGGACCGGGAUGGACAAAUCUCUGGUGUACCAAUUGUUCCGCCAGGAGCAGCGUUGGGUAGCCACGUUUGGAAAGGAUAACCACUGAAAGCAUCUAAGUGGGAAGCCAACCUCAAGAUAAGAUUUCCCUGUCUGAAU
Molecule: ribosomal RNA, 235 nt
Filed under: Elusimicrobia bacterium CG08_land_8_20_14_0_20_44_26
Lineage: Bacteria; Pseudomonadati; Elusimicrobiota
Description: partial 23S ribosomal RNA
Rfam family: Bacterial large subunit ribosomal RNA
Source: RNAcentral